RNAcentral lists this unclassified non-coding RNA (23 nucleotides) under Mus musculus (house mouse). RNAcentral's name for it is "oocyte_clustered_small_RNA6853". Lineage: Eukaryota; Metazoa; Chordata; Mammalia; Rodentia; Muridae. The record is from RNAcentral.
UCUGCACAGGUUCCUUGUCUUUG